CCCUUAGAUGUUCUGGGCCGCACGCGCGCUACACUGAUGCAUUCAACGAGUUUUUCCUUGGCCGAGAGGCCUGGGCAAUCUUUUAAACGUGCAUCGUGAUAGGGAUAGAUUAUUGCAAUUAUUAAUCUUGAACGAGGAAUUCCUAGUAAACGCAGAUCAUCAAUCUGCAUUGAUUACGUCCCUGCCCUUUGUACACACCGCCCGUCGCACCUACCGAUUGAAUGGUCCGGUGAAGCCUCGGGAUUGUGGCGGGUUCCCUUUAUUGGGAGUUUGUCGCGAGAACUUGUCUAAACCUUAUCAUUUAGAGGAAGGUGAAGUCGUAACA
Molecule: ribosomal RNA, 325 nt
Filed under: uncultured eukaryote
Lineage: Eukaryota
Description: partial 18S ribosomal RNA
Rfam family: Eukaryotic small subunit ribosomal RNA
Source: RNAcentral